AUUUUAUAGAAACGUUUAGUACUCACCAAGGCCCUCAGUGGAACUGGCUGAAAAUAGCAGCAGACUCACUCAGAAAAGAGUUGGAGAGAUCCAUGGCAGGGAAGAGAGAUUAAGGGAAGGUAGAGCGCUUAGGAGAGCUUGAAAACCCGAAGGUGGAGAACACGCAGCUGACCCUGAACCUGCAGACGGAGAACAAAGGCAGCGUUGUCUCAGGCGGAGAGCUGACAAUUUUCCUGGACGGGCCAACUGUUGAUCUGGGAAAUGUGCCUAAUGGCAGUGCCCUGACAGAUGGAUCACAGCUGCCUUCGAGAGACUCCAGUGGAACAGCAGUAGCUCCAGAGAACCGGCACCAGCCCCCCAGCACAAACUGCUUUGGUGGAAGAUCCCGGACGCACAGACAUUCAGGUGCUUCAGCCAGAACAACCCCAGCAACCGGCGAGCAAAGCCCCGGUGCUCGGAGCCGGCACCGCCAGCCCGUCAAGAACUCAGGCCACAGUGGCUUGGCCAAUGGCACAGUGAAUGACGAACCCACAACAGCCACUGAUCCCGAAGAACCUUCCGUUGUUGGUGUGACGUCCCCACCUGCUGCACCCUUGAGUGCGACCCUGAAUCCCAACACGACUUCUCUCCCUGCCC
This 636-nucleotide small RNA is filed under the name Pongo abelii (Sumatran orangutan). RNAcentral describes it as "processed transcript". The record is from RNAcentral. Lineage: Eukaryota; Metazoa; Chordata; Mammalia; Primates; Hominidae.